GUAGGGGGCGAGCGUUGUCCGGAUUUAUUGGGCGUAAAGAGCUCGUAGGCGGUUGCGUAAGUCGGAUGUGAAAACUCAGGGCUCAACCCUGAGAUGCCAUUCGAUACUGCGCUGACUCGAGUCCGGUAGGGGAGCAUGGAAUUCCUGGUGUAGCGGUGAAAUGCGCAGAUAUCAGGAGGAACACCAGUGGCGAAGGCGGUGCUCUGGGCCGAUACUGACGCUGAGGAGCGAAAGCAUGGGUAGCAAACAGGAUUAGAUACCCUGGUAGUCCCAUGCCCGUAAACGUUGGGCACUAGGUGUGGGGCCCACUUAACGGGUUCCGUGCCGUAGCUAACGCAUUAAGUGCCCCCGCCUGGGGAGUACGGCCGCAAGGCUA
This 376-nucleotide ribosomal RNA is filed under the name uncultured organism. RNAcentral's name for it is "partial 16S ribosomal RNA". It matches the Rfam family "Bacterial small subunit ribosomal RNA", at positions 527 to 896 of the family's 1533-position model. The record is from RNAcentral.